CAGAAUUUAUAUCGAACACAUGACGAUGACAAAAAAAAGCUCUUCAAAUCGAUCCAUCAUUGCUUCAAACGAACGUGGUCUUUGUCUUACAUUCGAACAGCGAACACCGGUAAACAUAAGAAAUUAUCACUUGAUGCUGAUGAUUGUGCCUAAGUCAUCUUAGAGCAAGGUAUGAAGAACAAACUUAUGACAAUUACGAUUAAGAAAAUGUAUCCCGAUCAGGAACGGAUAUCUCGAUACCGAUAAAUUCAUAUUGAUUAGCCUGAUAUAAGAGGUAAAAUAUUAAAGAAUAGUACCGAAAAAAAUGUUCCCACAAUUUCAUUCCAAUACCAACUAGCGACGCCGGUGGUGUAGUGGUAAGCGUGAUUGCCUCUCACCCCAAAAAGGCUUGGUUCAAUUCCAGUCGGCGUCACCGGGAUUUUCUGAGACAUAAAAUCUCUGAUCACGCCUUCCUUCGAAAGGAAGAAAAGCCGUUAGUCCCCGGUCCAUAAGUUUGAUGGGUCGAUAGGUAGGGUUCAGGUAUGGG
This is a long non-coding RNA of Ochlerotatus camptorhynchus, 526 nucleotides long. RefSeq lists it as uncharacterized. The record is from RefSeq and is a predicted model, not a curated record. The transcript is spliced from 4 exons. Lineage: Eukaryota; Metazoa; Arthropoda; Insecta; Diptera; Culicidae.